GAGGGUAUAGCUGAAAUGGUAGAGCACAUGCUUAGCAUGCACGAGGUCCUGGGUUCAAUGCCAGUACCACCU
Molecule: transfer RNA, 72 nt
Filed under: Camelus bactrianus (Bactrian camel)
Lineage: Eukaryota; Metazoa; Chordata; Mammalia; Artiodactyla; Camelidae
Also listed under: 2 other names
Rfam family: tRNA
About the family: Transfer RNA (tRNA) molecules are approximately 80 nucleotides in length. Their secondary structure includes four short double-helical elements and three loops (D, anti-codon, and T loops).
Source: Rfam by way of RNAcentral